RNAcentral lists this ribosomal RNA (249 nucleotides) under Botrytis cinerea. Its description in RNAcentral is "partial large subunit ribosomal RNA". It matches the Rfam family "Eukaryotic large subunit ribosomal RNA", at positions 398 to 664 of the family's 3401-position model. Lineage: Eukaryota; Fungi; Ascomycota; Leotiomycetes; Helotiales; Sclerotiniaceae. The record is from RNAcentral.
CGUGAAAUUGUUGAAAGGGAAGCGCUUGCAAUCAGACUUGCACUUGGUGUUCAUCAGGGUCUCGUACCCUGUGUACUUCAUCAAGUUCAGGCCAGCAUCAGUUUGAGUGGUUGGAUAAAGGCUUAGAGAAUGUGGCCCUCUUCGGGGGGGGUUAUAGCUCUAGGUGCAAUGUAGCCUACUUGGACUGAGGACCGCGCUUCGGCUAGGAUGCUGGCGUAAUGGUUGUAAGCGACCCGUCUUGAAACACGG